This 301-nucleotide ribosomal RNA is filed under the name uncultured bacterium. RNAcentral describes it as "partial 16S ribosomal RNA". It matches the Rfam family "Bacterial small subunit ribosomal RNA", at positions 509 to 807 of the family's 1533-position model. The record is from RNAcentral.
CAGUAGCCGCGGUAAAACGUAGGUGGCAAGCGUUGUCCGGAAUCACUGGGCGUAAAGGGUGCGUAGGCGGGUCUUUAAGUCAGGGGUGAAAUCCUGGAGCUCAACUCCAGAACUGCCUUUGAUACUGAAGAUCUUGAGUUCGGGAGAGGUGAGUGGAACUGCGAGUGUAGAGGUGAAAUUCGUAGAUAUUCGCAAGAACACCAGUGGCGAAGGCGGCUCACUGGCCCGAUACUGACGCUGAGGCACGAAAGCGUGGGGAGCAAACAGGAUUAGAUACCCGAGUAGUCCCUGUCUCUUAUAC